CUGCUGCCUCCCGUAGGAGUUUGGUCCGUGUCUCAGUACCAAUGUGGGGGGUUAACCUCUCAGUCCCCCUAUGUAUCGUUGCCUUGGUGAGCCGUUACCUCACCAACUAGCUAAUACAACGCAUGCCCAUCUUUAACCACCGGAGUUUUUAACCCAAGAAGAUGCCUUCUCGAAUGUUAUGGGGAAUUAGUACCAAUUUCUCAGUGUUAUGCCCCUGUUAAAGGUAGGUUGCAUACGCGUUACGCACCCGUGCGCCGGUCGCCACCAAAGUAUUG
Molecule: ribosomal RNA, 275 nt
Filed under: uncultured bacterium
Lineage: Bacteria
Description: partial 16S ribosomal RNA
Source: RNAcentral